Non-coding RNA from Taeniopygia guttata (zebra finch), 1161 nucleotides. The record is from RefSeq and is a predicted model, not a curated record. NCBI's taxonomy places the organism in Eukaryota, Metazoa, Chordata, Aves, Passeriformes, Estrildidae.
AGUGAAGAACAAUUCUAGUCCUUCUCGGCUGUCGGCAGAGGACCGGAGCGUUCCAAAGGCUGCGCCGGCUCUAAAAGCCAACGUUGCAUCUCACAGGGUCCUUUUUACUCCUUACCUGCUGCCCAUGCUCAGAACCAGAUAUGUGAGACCCUGCUCUGGUCCAGAGCCAGAUGUGAGACCCUGCUCUGGUCCAGAGCCAUGUGAGACGCGACCGCGGCUCUUUCAAUAAUUCAUGUGAAAGAUGUCUCAAAAUUGCUGCUUGUUUUCUGCAUACUUGCUCUUUGCUGUUCCCUUCCCCAACCAGUGUUUGUGCCAUCGUUUUGUGCUCCUUGUUUUAAUCCCCGAAGUGAUGUCAAAGUAAUGCUGUGGCAAUUCUGGUAGAUUUUAGCAGGAAUGUCUUAACAGCUGGUGGUUCUUGAAACUGCAGGCCGGAGACUUGGUGAUUCAGAGGCUCUCAACAGGUUUAACAAACGCAGGGGUUUUGUCUUUCAAAUGUAUGAGCUCACAAGAGAACAUUGCCACUAAAUAAGAGUUUAGUUGUUAUUCCAAACAAUCCACUGGUCUUUUGGACAGCCUGGAAGCCUUGUCCUGACCUUUAAGCCCUGGCAUUUAGCAACACAAAGUUAAGGUGGAUUACAUAAGGCCCCCAUCGCACAAACAGCCACUCUAGUUUAGGGAACACGGGUAAGCUUGUAAAGUCACAGCAACCUGAUCAAAGUGAGUACAAAUCCCUACCUUCAGGGCUAAAUUUGUUCUGACAUUGUCUUGUUAAACAGUGAAACCGUAGCAGAUAAGAGGAGCAGAAAGCUGCUGGCUGGGACAAUAGUGCAGAGUUACUGGGAGAAGUGCAGUCUUUCCCAUGGCCCUUCUUAGGGUGGCAGACAAGGAUUUCUUGUACCAGACAAGGAUCUCUGGUGGCAGACAAGGAUCUCUGGUAGCAGACACUGGGACUGCAGCAGAGCUCCAUGCCCAGCACAGGACUGAGCUCCUCCAACAUGGACAUUUUGGCUUCCAUGAUCCUUGGGCUCCUUCCAGCUCAGGGUUUCUAUUCCGUGACCAGUUUGAGGGAAGGAGCAUUAGAACAAGGUUGAAUUGGAGGUGGAAUGACAAGAGAGAGACCCUGCAGGAGCAGGAUAGUGAACUGCUCAUUCAAAAGCCAAA